CCUACGGGGGGCUGCAGUGGGGGAUAUUGCACAAUGGGGGGAACCCUGAUGCAGCGACGCCGCGUGGGUGAAGAAGCGCCUCGGCGCGUAAAGCCCUGUCAGCAGGGAAGAAAAUGACGGUACCUGAAGAAGAAGCCCCGUCUAACUACGUGCCAGCAGCCGCGGUAAGACGUAGGGGGCAAGCGUUAUCCGGAUUUACUGGGUGUUAAGGGGGCGCAGACGGGGUUGCAAGCCAGGAGUGAAAGCCCGGGGCCCAACCCGGGGACUGCACUUGGAACUGCGUGGCUGGAGUGCAGGAGGGGCAGGCGGAAUUCGUGGUGUAGCGGUGAAAUGCGUAGAUAUCAGGAGGAACACCGGUGGCGAAGGCGGCCUGCUGGACUGCAACUGACGUUGAGGCACGAAAGCGUGGGGAGCAAACAGGAUUAGAUACCCCAGUAGUC
RNAcentral lists this ribosomal RNA (440 nucleotides) under uncultured bacterium. RNAcentral describes it as "partial 16S ribosomal RNA". It matches the Rfam family "Bacterial small subunit ribosomal RNA", at positions 338 to 795 of the family's 1533-position model. The record is from RNAcentral.